RNAcentral lists this long non-coding RNA (330 nucleotides) under Calidris pygmaea (Spoon-billed sandpiper). RNAcentral's name for it is "lncRNA (ENSCPGG00000009480.1)". Lineage: Eukaryota; Metazoa; Chordata; Aves; Charadriiformes; Scolopacidae. The record is from RNAcentral.
GGGAAUUUUCCCUGUAUAGAAGGCCCAGCUGAGCUCCGCAUGUGACUGAAGUAGUAACUUAACUCUUCAAAACCAGACUAUUUAAAUCUGUGGCCUCUAAGUGGAGAACCUGAAGACCCUUUGGGUCAAUAUCUGGUUUGUGUUCUUAUUGCCAGCCAAGGACCAAGUUUCUCUGCCACAGCACAAAGGAGAGGAGGAAAGAUGGAAGUUGGUGAAAUAAAAAUUUCAGUAGCAGUGAGAAGACUGUUACAAAAUGUAAGAGUUUAUAAUUUUUUUUUAAACUUUUUUCAAGUUGAGUGCAAUUCUACAGCAUUCAGAAAGGCAAAGAGU